Molecule: transfer RNA, 66 nt
Filed under: Stalita taenaria
Lineage: Eukaryota; Metazoa; Arthropoda; Arachnida; Araneae; Dysderidae
Description: tRNA-Leu
Source: RNAcentral
UACAGUACGAAAGGACCAAAAUAACAUAUUACAUAAUAAUUUGACAGAACAAUUGUACUAAACUUA